GGAAAUGAGAAUAUGCAAAGCUAAGAGUAGCAGUAAAUACAGGAAUUCAUUUACAUCUUACUUGCCGAAGCACUGUUAUGGACAUAAAAAAUGGCUCGGAUCAGAAAAGAUACAAGUUCUUUCAUGGCAGCACUCCUACUUUGUGCACCAGACACAUGUAUGAAACAGCAAAGAAAGAACUUAGCCUGUAUCAGCUGCCAUCAUAUUCACUCUCUCACAUCAGAGAAUGGCAUUAAUAAGAGCUCAUACUAUGUACAAAAGCCACAUGCACCAAGCACUACACAAAUCCAGGAGAUAAAGGAAACAAACCAGCUGCUCUGUGCAACCAUAGAAAGAAGUUUCCAUAUAUCAGCCACCAAAACAAUACUAUGUUCUUGCAAAGCAAGACAAGGAAGAAAUUAUUUACCUGUGUCUAUUUCAGUUUGACUAAUGCAUGGUCUUAUAUAUUCACCAUGGUCCCUACUCCUUAGAGAAGGAAUUGUUCUGAGAAUAAAUUAAUCAAAAUAACAAAUGGAGUUUCACUGUAAGUGAAAUGGGCAGCUUUUCUUUCAGAUGAAGGGCUGGCUUUGGACCUGGGCAGAACAUGGGCACGAGCCACCACAGUAACUGCCAGCACUGUACAUACAGCAGCUUUUCCUAUAUCAAUCUCAGUAACAGCAGAAAGAAUAGCUAGCCUGCUUAUGCCUCUGAACAUUUUGAAGUCAAACAUCUGAACCUUCUUCCUUUGGGCAGCAUCUAUUCAGCACCCAGGAAACAAAUUGAUACUGAGAGCCUGGCCUCCUUGAGAAGCUUAAUGUGGACAUUUCUGAAAGUCAUUUGUAGCGCCAGUGCUGUCCAUCGCAGUCCUGGAGAAGACCACACACUUACAUUUGUGAGUUGGCACGUGUGAAGGACCACUGCUGGAGGAGCCCAGUUGAAAUGAGCAUUAACUUCAGCAAAUUCAGCUUUCAAGUUCAAAUCUGGCCAAACAGUUCCCAGCUGCUGGGUUAUUACUGCAUAGCUUGGCUGCAUUCAGACGUUCAUCAAGUAGAAGCACAUGUGAGGAAGGGUGUGAGAAAUUCCCACAAUGCUAACUCACUUCUCACUGAACCAGGCAAUCAACUUUUUCAGCUUGCUCUUGAGCACUUGUAUUUAUGGUAGGAAACCCCACCAACACUGAUUUUAGUUUGCCAGGUAAGUAAUACAGGAUGCAUGAAAGCGUUAUGGAGCCAACACGUUCCUGACAAGACCAUAUCUGAGCAUCAGCACGGAAAUCUUUCCAUUCUACCUGGCGUAGCUUUGCUUCUAGCAAGCCAUUUCUGAAGCAUUUCACUUGUUCAAGGAUGAGAAUAUCCGACACGUUCUCACCAUAGUUCAGGAGUCCCAGUUACCGUAAGACCACACACAAGGUUUUGAAAGAUCUCCAAAGACUCAAUUCUGUCAUCCCUGUACAGUCAUCUGUCAAAAGUGCACCUAAAUAGUUGGUACACUGCACAGAGAACCAAAGGGUGAAUUAGAAGGGACUGCCCAAGAUUAGGUUGGAAUGUCUACAUAGGACUGGUGACAUAGGAUCAAUCUGCCUUCUAGGUGAGACCCAAGGGUUUUGGCAGUAACAGCAGAUGGGAAGAACAAAAAACUGACAAACUCAUAUUCCUUCUUUCAUUCUUAAUUUUGGCACCAGGUCCAGACCUCACGAGGAUUUCUGCUGAAAGUAUUUGAGUAGUUCACUUCUUCAGAGCACACGUUUGUUAUUCUAUAGAUAUAAUUACCAUAUAAAUAAUAUUUCUGAAUGAAUGAGCCUUCAGUAAUACCUUUUAAAAAUAUUUAGCACUCCUAGGGGGAAAAAACUCUACACAAAAUAAAGAAGUGUAUGUACAGUGCUUUUUGUCAAAGUAAAGCAAGAAUGUUCUGCUCAAUUUCUUUUCAAAAAUUAAGCCCUGGUACUAACGAAACUUGGCUUCUCGUGAAGAGCAACUCUGAUGCAAAUUUAAGUCAGAGAUAAUGCAAAGUCUGAUUUUAGAGCUUUUCCUUGCAGCUGGGUUGUUAACCAAGAAACAUUCUGAAUUCAGUGCUGUUUGAUAGAGUCGGCGUAGACUGCAACUUCUGCCAUACCAUUUCCUUCUGUCUCAUCCACAUGCCAAUUCCAACCUCACAUCUUUAGUGACAAACAAUCAGAGGAAAGUGCCGCUGAAGCAAUUUUAGUAUGAAGGACUCAGGCGAUAAGAUACAAUAAUUGCAUAUAGUGGGCAAUAGUAUUUAUGACAGCUCUAAAGUUGAGUCAGAAAACUCACAAACCACUUUUGAUCCAAGCAGAGAAAAAGAAGGGCACAAUUUAUUCAAGUGACACCAUUAGAAGCCAUUUAACUUUUCAGUGUUUUGAUUUAUAAGGAGAGGCAUGACACACUAACACCUCAUUACUGAGAACUCCUACAAAGCAGUUGGGAUCUCCCUACUCCCUCUUCUCAUACAUUCAUUAGAUUAUUUCCAAUUAUGGAGACAGCAUCAUCACUGUCUCUAUCCCCUCCUCUCAGUGCACAACCAGGAAACUCCCGUGCAUUCCCAAUCAUUCCUGCCCUGCACCAUUUUGCACUGUCACAUUUGAAAAGUCAUUGCAGUCAAGCAAAGUCAUUGGUGAUUGGAAAAAAGGAAAGCACUCUUUUUUAAGGGAGAAAGGAAGAGCUCGGGAACUACAGGCCUGUAUUACUCAGUUUUGGAACCUGCACGUGCUCUGCAGACAGUGCGUUCAGCACCGGCAAUCCAAAAGAAUCUGCAGUCUGUUCCUUCAAUGAACAGCACCGCUCGCUCAUCCAGCCGCGAGUUCUCACCGAACGGAACCCAACUCCUCCAGCGGGCCGUGACUGAACGCUGCUGCCCCCUGCGGGAGCAAAAACCCAAUAUAGCGCAACAGGCACUGCAGGGCGCAGCUGCCGCCCGGUGAUUAAAGCAGCAGAAGGUAACGCAGACUCUCUUCGUGCCUCACUGCCACGCACGCGCCGUGCAGGAACGGCAGCAACGACUUGGCGCCCUCGACCUCCUUCACAGAAGCAGAACAACUCGGAAAAGACACGAGAGUGGCGCCAACGGCACAGUUCCGCCGGAGCGGCGCCUCGUUUCUCUAACCGCACUGCGCUGCGAAUGCGCCACGCCUGCGGCCUCCGGCAGAACCACGCACGCAUCCGAACGUGUAAAGAACUACGCCUGCUCUAACGGCUCAGAUUAAGGCGAGGACUGUUGUAUCGCACCGACAGCUCCCAGCGCUGCUCGCUCUUCCACUGCCCGCUGGCUGUCGCCUCGGUCAUCGCACCCCCACGCCACAACGCCCUAUUUCGGCUCCAGCUGCCCCGCAGCGCGGCCGGCUCAGGGCCGAAGCGAAGCGCCCGGUGCCCGCCCCGCAUCCACGCACGCGCUGCAAACGUUGCGGCCCUCGGUGCUGCCGCCACCUGUAGCGGCCCGGUACUGCAGGCCGGUGAGUAUAAAGUGGACCCCGCGCAACUGCCACGGGGGAAGGAACACGACUUCGUUGCGUGCCUCUACGUACCUGCGUGCUGCACAGCGACGAAAAAACACCUUUUCCUCCGUGCCCUGGAACCAAAAUUUGCUGACCAGCUGCUGGGUGCCCAGAGAGGUAACAGCAGUCUCCGCAUCAGUUUGUACACCCACUUUGUGUGAUGGCGCCACAAAGGGCACCCAGAGGUUCUCAGUGCACCCUAGGAUGCCCUACAGUCGCUCAGGGAGCAGCACCUGAUGUGGCACACUGAGGUGUGCUUGGGCUACAGUAUGGUACACUGGAAAACCUAUAGGGCACUCCAGAGCACACUGUGGCAUUCAUAGAAUAUUGUGGGAAGCCCUGUAUUUCACUUUGGUGUCCUUGGAAGCCUCUAGGAUACAGUGGGAAGCACGGGAAGAACAGCAGGGGGCAUGACAGGCUCUGGGAGCCCAUUAAUGUUCCCUAAAGCACAUUGGAUGGCUCAGGGAGGUCUCUGGUGCACACUGUGUAUCCUUUAGCAUGAUUCUGGGAGCUUUGGAAGCAUGUUAUGAUGGUGCCAAAUACAGAAGGACACACUGGGAAACCAGUAAAGAACCCUAGAGCACACCAAGGAGCUGAGGGGUCUCUAGUGUGCUCUGAGAUGUGUCUAGGAUGCCUCCCUAAAGCCUGCUCAAUAUCUCAGGGAUAUGUUUAGGUGUCUCUAGAGCUGACUGUGAGGCCCCACAAAACCUCUGGGGCACAUUAGAGAGCACUGAGUCCCAGGGGAGCGUUCUAGGGCACCUGUGCCUACGCUCUGGGCUUGACUACAUGCUCCAUGGCAUCUGAGAGGCCCACACCAGUGCAGUCUGGAACCCAAGGCUAUGCACUGGAAUUGCCUGUAUGCUUUACUGCACCCUUGAUGCAUGUAUUUGUGAGGUCCUAGAACUGGUUAUCCCAGAACAUUACCUCCAACCCCUUUCUGCUUCCACUGUAUUUAAUUGUGAUGAGGGGCAGAAGCACCACCACACUUAAGCCAGGCUGCAGGGCCCUCAUGUUCAACAAGGUGCUCCAAUUACUACAAAUGUAACUUCAAGGUCAUCCAGAGCAGCACCCCCACAGAAAUGACCAAGACCAUCUACAGCCUCAGUCAAAUUUUGAUAUCAUGCAUAGUAAGAAAACAGCCACAUCCAAAAAUGGAGAGAAAAAGAGACCAACCUGAGAGCCAAGGUGCCAUUAAUCACUCUGCAAAUUCUCCAUCAUUAUGAACAGAACUAUCACAUGUGUUUUCAGCAAAAUCAGUUAAUUUUUGGCAUUUUUAAAAUACAAUAAAUGUACUUGUAAAAAAAAAAGUUUAAAAUAUAAGUAAAUGACAGGCUGAUAAAGUAUCAGAACUGCCCUGUGCUUUCUGCUAAUAUGCUUUUAUUAUGAUUAAAUUUGCCUGGUAGUUUGAUUUGAGUGCAUGAAUAUUUAAAGAAACAUCACUUAUAAAAGUGACACUUAUAAAAGAGACAGUCAAUCAUUAUGUACAUGGAUAUUUGUAAACAAUUUACAAAGUCUUCCUGGUUAACAUCUGGACAGCUCAAUGCAAGGGAAAUAGCAUUACAACAAAGGUACGACAGCAGGAGGACCAGCACAAUAGAAAGGCACUACAAAGAAAGAGAAGAAGAUUGCUCACCUUGUCAGAAGAUUCAGGGUUCAUAGUGAAAAGAUUGGC
Molecule: long non-coding RNA, 5159 nt
Organism: Tympanuchus pallidicinctus (lesser prairie-chicken)
Lineage: Eukaryota; Metazoa; Chordata; Aves; Galliformes; Phasianidae
Exons: 4
Source: RefSeq, a predicted model, not a curated record